CCGCAAAAAUUUGUACAUAAAAUUUUCAAUCACAUAUUUCAUACUUUCAUCAAAAUCUGCUAAACUUUUAUCAAAAAUUUUGGUCAAACAACACCUACAUAUUCAUCAAGUCCAAAUGAUAUAUUUUUCUUACUAAAAUGACAAUAUUGAAUGACAAGGACAAUGAAGGAAUUCCCAUAUGACUCGUCAGCAGCAUAAAAUUGAUCUAGGCAAAGAUAGAAUUGUCAGGCAUAACAGUAGAUCCUACAAGGUGUAAACAGCUAAAAAAAACUGAAAUGCAACAAGCAGAUAUCCUCACGCUGUCUACCUCACUUCCUCCCCUUCUGCAGAAACUAGGUUAAAUCUUGACUGACCAACAAGAAUAUUGAUCAAACGAUUCAAACUUGUUCAAAAUUCUUUGAAAUACACGAAUCUAACAUCAGGUUGUCUGGAAAUCACAUUGUGACAGUUCUCAAUUCCAAGCUGGGAUGCUCCCAUUUCCUCAAGGAAAAAAAAAAGAAAAAAAGACUAAAGACCUCUGCAGUAUAAACUUCCCUAAAAAUGAAGGAAAGAAUGAAAAGAAAAUUUCCAGAAAAGUUAUCAAACCUUUAUCAGUCGGUCCAGAAGAGCAUUAAGACAGUUCCAUCCUCCUUCCUUUUAGACAAAUCUGGCUGAUUUACCCGCUAGUAUGAGUUUGGAAUAGUAAACAGAUAUGCAUGGAAAAAUUCAAUUUUGUGUCCUCUAUUGUUUCAGAGUUCAGAGUUCACCGAGUGGAUCAAGUAUAAAUUUGCACAUGAAGGCUUCUGAAGUUGACAAUCACGGUUUUCAAAGGAACAAAAACAGCUUAACCCAAAUUAAAAGGGCGAAGGUUUUAAACAAGGAAACAUAAUAUAAUUUUUGGGUCGACCGAAAAUUAGAGUUAGC
RNAcentral lists this long non-coding RNA (903 nucleotides) under Olea europaea (common olive). RNAcentral's name for it is "long non-coding RNA (OEUR_LNC010866)". The record is from RNAcentral. Lineage: Eukaryota; Viridiplantae; Streptophyta; Magnoliopsida; Lamiales; Oleaceae.